This 74-nucleotide microRNA precursor is filed under the name Ochotona princeps (American pika). Its description in RNAcentral is "miRNA (ENSOPRG00000022367.1)". Lineage: Eukaryota; Metazoa; Chordata; Mammalia; Lagomorpha; Ochotonidae. The record is from RNAcentral.
UGGGAGCCCAGGAGCUGGAGGCAGGCCCUAAGCCUCAGCGGGCAGCAGGCUGGCUGCUGUGUGCUUGGCUGGCA